Molecule: ribosomal RNA, 465 nt
Filed under: uncultured bacterium
Lineage: Bacteria
Description: partial 16S ribosomal RNA
Rfam family: Bacterial small subunit ribosomal RNA
Source: RNAcentral
GACGAACGCUGGCGGCGUGCUUAACACAUGCAAGUCGAACGGAAAGGCCCUGCUUGCAGGGUACUCGAGUGGCGAACGGGUGAGUAACACGUGGGUGAUCUGCCCUGCACUUCGGGAUAAGCCUGGGAAACUGGGUCUAAUACCGGAUAGGAGCCAUUUUUAGUGUGAUGGUUGGAAAGUUUUUUCGGUGUAGGAUGAGCUCGCGGCCUAUCAGCUUGUUGGUGGGGUAAUGGCCUACCAAGGCGGCGACGGGUAGCCGGCCUGAGAGGGUGGACGGCCACAUUGGGGCUGAGAUACGGCCCAGACUCCUACGGGAGGCAGCAGUGGGGAAUAUUGCACAAUGGGCGCGAGCCUGAUGCAGCGACGCCGCGUGGGGGAUGACGGCCUUCGGGUUGUAAACUCCUUUCGCUAGGGACGAAGCUUUUUGUGACGGUACCUAGAUAAGAAGCACCGGCUAACUACGUG